This 467-nucleotide ribosomal RNA is filed under the name uncultured bacterium. RNAcentral's name for it is "partial 16S ribosomal RNA". It matches the Rfam family "Bacterial small subunit ribosomal RNA", at positions 28 to 507 of the family's 1533-position model. The record is from RNAcentral.
GACGAACGCUGGCGGUGUGCUUAACACAUGCAAGUCGAACGGUAAGGCCCUUUCGGGGGUACACGAGUGGCGAACGGGUGAGUAACACGUGAGUAACCUGCCCUCAUCUCUGGGAUAACAGUCGGAAACGGUUGCUAAUACUGGAUAUGAGCUUGCAAGGCAUCUUGUGGGUUGGAAAGAUUUUUUUGGUUGGGGAUGGACUCGCGGCCUAUCAGCUUGUUGGUGAGGUAGUGGCUCACCAAGGCUUCGACGGGUAGCCGGCCUGAGAGGGCGACCGGCCACAUUGGGACUGAGAUACGGCCCAAACUCCUACAGGAGGCAGCAGUGGGGAAUAUUGCACAAUGGACGGAAGUCUGAUGCAGCAACGCCGCGUGCGGGAUGACGGCCUUCGGGUUGUAAACCGCUUUCAAUUGUGACGAAGCUUUUUUGUGACGGUAGCAGUAGAAGAAGCACCGGCUAACUACGUG